GACGAACGCUGGCGGCGUGCUUAACACAUGCAAGUCGAACGGAAAGGCCCUGCUUUUGUGGGGUGCUCGAGUGGCGAACGGGUGAGUAACACGUGAGUAACCUGCCCUUGACUUUGGGAUAACUUCAGGAAACUGGGGCUAAUACCGGAUAGGAGCUCCUGCUGCAUGGUGGGGGUUGGAAAGUUUCGGCGGUUGGGGAUGGACUCGCGGCUUAUCAGCUUGUUGGUGGGGUAGUGGCUUACCAAGGCUUUGACGGGUAGCCGGCCUGAGAGGGUGACCGGCCACAUUGGGACUGAGGUACGGCCCAGACUCCUACGGGAGGCAACAGGGGGGAAUAUUGCACAGUGAGCGGGAGCCUGAUGCAGCAACGCCGCGUGCGGGAUGACGGCCUUCGGGUUGUAAACCGCUUUCGCCUGUGACGAAGCGUGAGUGACGGUAAUGGGUAAAGAAGCACCGGCUAACUACGUG
Molecule: ribosomal RNA, 468 nt
Filed under: uncultured bacterium
Lineage: Bacteria
Description: partial 16S ribosomal RNA
Rfam family: Bacterial small subunit ribosomal RNA
Source: RNAcentral